RNAcentral lists this ribosomal RNA (465 nucleotides) under uncultured bacterium. RNAcentral's name for it is "partial 16S ribosomal RNA". It matches the Rfam family "Bacterial small subunit ribosomal RNA", at positions 28 to 507 of the family's 1533-position model. The record is from RNAcentral.
GACGAACGCUGGCGGCGUGCUUAACACAUGCCAGUCGAACGGAAAGGCCCUGCUUGCAGGGUACUCGAGUGGCGAACGGGUGAGUAACACGUGGGUGAUCUGCCCUGCACUUCGGGAUAAGCCUGGGAAACUGGGUCUAAUACCGGAUAGGAGCCAUUUUUAGUGUGAUGGUUGGAAAGUUUUUUCGGUGUAGGACGAGCUCGCGGCCUAUCAGCUUGUUGGUGGGGUAAUGGCCUACCAAGGCGGCGACGGGUAGCCGGCCUGAGAGGGUGGACGGCCACAUUGGGACUGGGAUACGGCCCAGACUCCUACGGGAGGCAGCAGUGGGGAAUAUUGCACAAUGGGCGCAAGCCUGAUGCAGCGACGCCGCGUGGGGGAUGACGGCCUUCGGGUUGGAAACUCCUUUCGCUAGGGACGAAGCUUUUUGUGACGGUACCUAGAUAAGAAGCACCGGCUAACUACGUG